UACAGAGGGGGCAAGCGUUAUUCGGAAUUAUUGGGCGUAAAGAGCUCGUAGGCGGUUCGACAAGUCGGGUGUGAAAACUCCGGGCUCAACCCGGAGACGCCACCCGAUACUGUCGUGACUGGAGUCCGGUAGGGGAGUGGGGAAUUCCUGGUGUAGCGGUGAAAUGCGCAGAUAUCAGGAGGAACACCGGUGGCGAAGGCGCCACUCUGGGCCGGUACUGACGCUGAGGAGCGAAAGCGUGGGUAGCAAACAGG
RNAcentral lists this ribosomal RNA (254 nucleotides) under uncultured bacterium. RNAcentral's name for it is "partial 16S ribosomal RNA". It matches the Rfam family "Bacterial small subunit ribosomal RNA", at positions 524 to 776 of the family's 1533-position model. The record is from RNAcentral.